RNAcentral lists this long non-coding RNA (211 nucleotides) under Lathyrus oleraceus (garden pea). RNAcentral's name for it is "Pisum sativum (pea) long non-coding RNA (PSAT_LNC020894)". Lineage: Eukaryota; Viridiplantae; Streptophyta; Magnoliopsida; Fabales; Fabaceae. The record is from RNAcentral.
UAAAAUUUAUGCAAACCUUUAACGUACCAUUAUUCUUUACAACUGGCACAAUAUUAGCUAACCAUUCGCCAUACCUGGUAGUGCGAAUGAAAUUACAGCGAAGAAGCCUUUUGACUUCCUCUUUAAUCUUCGAAAGUAUUGCUGAAGCAAAUCGCCUUGGGUUCUACUUCACAGGCUUCUUUCCAGGCUUGAUCGGCAGUUUCAAUUCGAC